UGACGCUCUCCCCAAGGACACAAGCCAUGCAUGCCCGCACACCCGGGAAGCGGCGGACGGCUCAGGACAACGGUUGCACCCCCCGCGGCGGUCCCUGCUAGCCGGACACCGCUGGCAACCCGGCGCCAAGACGUGCGCGCAAGUGCGGACGCCCGCGGGCGAGCAGCGUGACGCAGA
This 177-nucleotide ribosomal RNA is filed under the name Giardia duodenalis. RNAcentral's name for it is "Giardia intestinalis partial small subunit ribosomal RNA". The record is from RNAcentral. Lineage: Eukaryota; Fornicata; Diplomonadida; Hexamitidae.